UACAGAGACUGCGAGCGUUAUUCGGAUUCACUGGGCGUAAAGGGUGCGCAGGUGGCCAGGUGUGUUAGGCGUGAAAGCCCGGGGCUUAACCCCGGAAUUGCACCUAAAACUACUUGGCUAGAGCAUUGGAGAGGGGAGCAGAAUUCAUGGUGUAGCAGUGAAAUGCGUAGAUAUCAUGAGGAAUACCAGAGGCGAAGGCGGCUCCCUGGACAAUUGCUGACACUCAGGCACGAAAGCGUGGGGAGCAAAAGGG
This 253-nucleotide ribosomal RNA is filed under the name uncultured bacterium. RNAcentral describes it as "partial 16S ribosomal RNA". It matches the Rfam family "Bacterial small subunit ribosomal RNA", at positions 524 to 776 of the family's 1533-position model. The record is from RNAcentral.